AUGGUGAUGGGGAAAAGAGACGUGGGUUGAAGGGGAGAUGGGUUACAGAGGGUGGAGUGGGUGAGCAAAAAUAGCUUAGGCAUAUCGUGGACAAAUGUCCACUACUGAGUCCUGGGGAGAGCAAUGGUUUCAUCUUGCCUCUUUAGAAUAAUGUAACGUGGAAACGGAGGCACUGUGGAACUCGGGAUUAAGGAAGGGCAGGGAGUUUCUCCUGAUAGGAUCCUGGGCAGAGCUGCCCAGCCUUAGAAGGUGGGUGGGGGUGAGACGGGAGGAGAGAAAAACACCCCUGCCCCUCCCUGCUCUCUUCCUUUCGUUCAAGCCGGGUUACUGAAGGCCUUCACGCUGUCCCCACAGGACGCAGUGCAGAAUGCAGAGGCCCACAUCAAGGCUGACUGCCUGGUUUCAGCUGUAGGAGGAAAUACAGACAGAUCUCUCCUCCUAGCCCAGCUGGGGAGGGACAGAAACUGAUCUGGGAAGGAUGGCUGUGACUUUGGCCUUUGGGUUCGCAACUUGAACUUGCUCCCCAUUAGCUUGAGAAAUCCAGGCCACGGAGAAUGUCCAAGAUUUCAGUGGGCAUGGACAGGCAUGGGAUUCGGAGCACACUGGACCUUUUCCCUCCUGAUCCCAAUUAAAUCUUGAGGGAAAGCUACGUGGAGAGGGCAUGCAUGGGAAGGCAGUCUAGACUAGAUGAUUAUCAGGACCCGUUGCUGUUUUCUCCCUCCCGUCCUUCCUUUUUUAAAAUUUAUGGUACUGAGGAUUGAACCUAGCGUGUUGCUAAGCAACACUCCACUACUUCGAUGCAUCGCCAACCAAUUUUUUUUUUUUAAACUUUGAGUCUUGAUAAGUUUCCCAGGGCGGCCUUGAACUCAUUUUGUAACCCAGGCAGUCUUUGCCUCAGCCUCCUGACUAGCUAAGAUUACGGGCCUGGCCCCACCUGUAUGCUAAGCUGAGAUUCAACAAUAGCUCUGUGUCUUUGCCCAUCCAAUUAUCUUUUCCUGUAUUUGACAAGUCAGAUCCUCAGUUUUCAAAGGUUAUGAUAAAAUUCUCUUCUACUAAAACGAACAUCUAAGGCUAAGGAGAUAGCUCAGUGAUGCAAGGACCAGGACCUGAGUUCCAUCCCCAGAACCCGCAUGAAAAUAAGCUGGGUAUGGCAUCCCAGCGCUGGCAAGGCAGAGGCGGUGGAUCCCUAGCCUGUUAGGUGAGCUCCAGGCCAAUGACAGAUCUGUCUCAAAAUACUAGUGGACAGCAUCUGAGAAACAGCACCUGAGAUUAUCCUCUGCAUUUAUUCAUCGUGAGGAUUGUGGGGGGUGAGUGGGGAUGGUGCAUACAAUGGCCUCUGCUUCCACAUGCACACACAUGGACAUGAAUACACAGCACCUUUGAUUUCAGUACUUAGGAAGCUGAUGCAGGAAGAUGGCUACUCAAGGCUACACAGAACUAAUCCUGAGCUAAGAUUACAGGCAUGGACCACCAUGUCUGGCCCUGAGCCAUUUUCUGACCCUGGGAUCAUCUCUGGUUCUCAGAAUUGUUCAGUGUAUACAAAAAACCAACACUUAGCCCAGUGACUCUUUGUCACAGUCCCAGGACUUCCACAGUGCCCUCCUGUAUUCUCUAGGCUACCUCAUCUGUCAGGCCUUCUCUCUGGCUCUUCUUCUAUUGUCCCUGACCUGCCUACAUUGUUCCUGCAGCCACUUGACCUCCAUGGCUUUGUGCUAGCCUGACACCAAUUCUGACUGAGUUAUUAGCUCAAAGAGGAUGUGGACACACAAGAUCAGAGGAGCAGGAAAAUGAAUUGCAUGAGGCCAGGGCUUGAGAGCUCCUUUUAUUGGACAUGAGCUAGAAAGUAUCUGAGAGAAGCCUGACAGUGGUGGUGUGUGCCUUUGAUCCCAGAACUCGGGAGGCAGAGUCAGGUAAGUCUCUGAGUUUGGGGCCAGCCUGAUCUACAGAAUGAGUUCCAGGAUAGCCAGGCCUACACAGAGAACCCCUGUCUGGAAAAACCAAAAAAAAGAAAAAGAAAAAAAGGAAAUAUCUGAGAGAAAGAUAGAAAGAUAAAAUUGUAAGUAUAUUUAGGAUGGAGGGGAGUGGGGAUCAGGCAAGUUAGACAAUAUGAAGAAGGGAUGAUGGGGAAGACUUUUUUUAAGGUUUUUUGAGACAGGGUUUCUCUGUAACAGUCCUAGCCAUCCUGGAUCUCGCUCUGUAGACCAGGUUGGCCUCGAACUCCCAGAGAUCCACCUGCCUCUGCCUCCGGAGUACUGGGAUUAAAGACGUGCACCACCACUGCCCAGUGAAUUUGUGUUCUUGAGGAAAGCAAUGUCUAACAGGAGCAUCACCAGUUACUGAGUAUGAGAACCAACAGCAAACAUUGUGUGUGAGUAAUUAAUAAAUCCCAGCGGUGGGCAGCAGGCAUCCAGAAAUUUCUCUCAAUGGCUUUCUCUUGCUCAGAUUUUGUCUCUGAAUUUCCUCUCUAGGAGCAGGUAAGAUAGCUCAAUGGGGAAAGGUGCUUGCAGCCAAGCCUGAGGACCUGAGUUUGAUACCCCAGCCCCACAUGAGGGAAGGAGAGAACUGGCUUCCGAAAGUUGUCCUCUGACCUCCACGUGAGGGCCGUUGUACGCACCAUCCCCACCGACCCCCCACAAUCCUCACGAUGAAUAAAUCUCUCAGGCUGAGGCUCCUGACCUUGCUAGUUAUCAGUGCAGCGGACAUUGUAGAUGCCUAACCCUUUCGCGUUUAUGCUGCUUCUGGAACUGAGAGGGAAACGAGCUCAGGAAGACUUCAAGGUAAAGCUGGAAGGCAGGGUAGACUCACCGCUGGGGGCUGCCUCCAUGUACAGUGUGGGCUCCCCCGGGGAGGAAACUAGCUCUUUCUAUGAUCGAUAGUGGGGGGCAGAGAUAACACAGCCGAGGGCCUCACUAGAAUCCGUUUUCUCACCAAAUUCUCAGGCUCCCUCCUCACCUUUGCUCUGGCUUCCUGAACCCUCGAUACAUCUGCUGCUGCUACUGUCACCACUCAGAAGACUGAUUUCCAGGAGAGGUCCUAGUCUCAUCCCGUGCCAGCCGGGGCCUAUUCCAACAGCCUUCUGAAGGUGUCAGCCCAUCCAUAAACACAGGGUAAAAUAAUAAAGGCUUUUGUCUCUCAA
Molecule: long non-coding RNA, 3136 nt
Organism: Peromyscus californicus insignis
Lineage: Eukaryota; Metazoa; Chordata; Mammalia; Rodentia; Cricetidae
Exons: 2
Source: RefSeq, a predicted model, not a curated record